Molecule: unclassified non-coding RNA, 260 nt
Filed under: Glomeraceae sp.
Lineage: Eukaryota; Fungi; Glomeromycota; Glomeromycetes; Glomerales; Glomeraceae
Description: partial internal transcribed spacer 2
Rfam family: 5.8S ribosomal RNA (bases 1-65)
Source: RNAcentral
GUGAAUCAUCGAAUUUUUGAACGCAAAUUGCACUCUUCUCUGAGAGUAGGCCUGUUUGAGGUUCAGCCUAUAAAAAAUCUACAUCGUUUCUGUUUCGCGGUGAUGUUCGUCGGGAGUUGGGUCAUCUUCAAUCCUUUUAGUUUUAAGCGACUGAAAAUUUUCUUUUUGGUUCCAGUAACGCUUCUAAUAUGUACUUCUUUACACGUUUACGUGUAGCGAUUUUUAUUAGACUUGACCAUCAUUUCGGAUCGCGUCCUUAC